RNAcentral lists this ribosomal RNA (622 nucleotides) under uncultured marine bacterium. Its description in RNAcentral is "bacterial SSU rRNA". It matches the Rfam family "Bacterial small subunit ribosomal RNA", at positions 879 to 1501 of the family's 1533-position model. The record is from RNAcentral.
AGUACGGCCGCAAGGUUAAAACUCAAAUGAAUUGACGGGGGCCCGCACAAGCAGUGGAGCAUGUGGUUUAAUUCGAUGCAACGCGAAGAACCUACCAGGCCUUGACAUCCUCGGAACUUUCUAGAGAUAGAUUGGUGCCUUCGGGAACCGAGUGACAGGUGCUGCGUGGCUGUCGUCAGCUCGUGUCGUGAGAUGUUGGGUUAAGUCCCGUAACGAGCGCAACCCUUGUCCUUAGUUGCCAGCACAUUAUGGUGGGAACUUUAAGGAGACUGCCGGUGACAAACCGGAGGAAGGAGAGGAUGAUGUCAAGUCAUCAUGGCCCUUACGGCCUGGGCUACACACGUGCUACAAUGGACAGUACAGAGGGCCGCAAUGCCGCGAGGUGGAGCAAAUCCCAAAAAACUGUUCGUAGUCCGGAUCGGAGUCUGCAACUCGACUCCGUGAAGUCGGAAUCGCUAGUAAUCGCGAAUCAGCAUGUCGCGGUGAAUACGUUCCCGGGCCUUGUACACACCGCCCGUCACAUCAUGGGAGUGGGCUGCAAAAGAAGUGGCUAGUCUAACCUUCGGGAGGACGGUCACCACUUUGUGGUUCAUGACUGGGAUGAAGUCGUAACAAGGUAACC